This 2354-nucleotide long non-coding RNA is filed under the name Malus domestica (apple). RNAcentral's name for it is "long non-coding RNA (MDOM_LNC013394)". The record is from RNAcentral. Lineage: Eukaryota; Viridiplantae; Streptophyta; Magnoliopsida; Rosales; Rosaceae.
AGGGUUUUUGGUUCUUUAGGUCAUUUAAAGAAGUGACUAUAUAAAGAACUUUAUAGCCUAAAAUUCAAAAAGGGUUCUUUUGGAGAAAAUUGGAGAGAACAUGUCUCUCCUUUUCUCUCUAGGAGGCCGGCCCCCUUGGAGGGUGUAUCUAGCAAUCCUACUCCUCCAAGGUCACUCAUUUCUACUUAAAUCUAACCUUGGUGUGGAGACUUAGAGGUUCUCAAUUUUGGGAACUUAGAGAACCAUAUUCUUCCAUCCAAAUCCAUGGAUCUAAGAAGCAAGGAAUGAAGGCCCUCUCUUUGGGUGAUUAGCCUUUGCUUAUGCAAAGAGGAAUCUACAAAGGUAUAUAUUUCUCAACUCACUUUGUUUUGAGUUGAGACCUGGUUCACCAAUCUACUAGGCUUUGAAUUUCAUGGGUAAUGUUUUGUUUUUGAAUGCAUGCAAGCAUGAUUCCGCCUUUUAUUUGUUAAAUGCAUGCUAUAGAUGUUAUUCAAAUGAACAUGUUUUCACAAAAUCGUCCUUCAAGUGGUAUCAGAGCCUAGGUCUAGUAGUUGGUGAAUCCUUUUGGUUUUGUAGUUCAUAGUUUGUGAUUUAAAAGUUGUAAUAUGUUACAAGCUUUAUUCUUGUUUCUUUGAAUGUAAAUUUUGUUAGAAAAUUUGCCAUCUCAAAUGUUGUAGAUGUAGUUCUUAUGAGCAUGAAUAUUGGAGCUAAAAUUUGGUGCCAUGCUUUUGGGAAUUUUCGGCCAAAUCCAAAGGGUGGAUUUUUGGGUUCUUGUUUGACUUGUUAAAAGUGUUUUCAAGUAACUUUUGGAACCCCUAUGUACCCUAGUUUGGUUAUAUGUUAUUUCCCUAAAGUUUGAGUGGUUUUGGGAUGUUUUUGGGUGAAAAAUGUUCAUGGAAAUUUUUUGGGUUUUUCAUGAAUGUUCUUCAUUGUUCUUGACAUUUUUGCCAAGAACAAAAAAGUUUUGUGUUUUGAUUCAAAGUUUUGAUUUAUUUCAUAAAGUUUAUGUUUUAUGUUUUUCAAAUGAUUUAAUGUGUUAGAUAUUUGUUUAAAUGGUGAUAGAAAUAAUGGUGGGUGUGAAAGGAUUAAUUCCCUUUCACACACACCACUUGCACCACUUGCACCACUUGCUUGCUUUAUGUCAAAACUCACAAAUCAACACACACAUCACUCCUUAUCCUUCUCCAAAACUGGCCCUCCCUCAAGUGGGAGUACUUUUGGGGCUUUUAUGCAAUUACAUAAAGUUUUGAUACUUUUGUGUAUUUGCACUUUGGCCCAAAAGUUUACGUUUUUACGUUUAGGUCCAAAAACGCUAAAGGACAAAUUGUUUUGUUCCUUUAAUGAAGUUUUUGCAUUGUUUAAAUUUUGGGUUCUACUUGUAUUUACAUGAAGUAGUGGACUUUUGUGUUUUUACAAAGUGACCCUAAAAAUUUAUUUUUUUGCAUAUAGCCCAAAAGUUGAGGUUAAUUGCUUUAUAGCCCAAAAGGUUGUGGUUAUUGCAUGAUGGCCCAAAUUAGGUUAAGAACAAAAUUGUUUUGUCUCUUUCAAUGAGAAUUGGAUUUUCAUUUCAUUUAGCUCCAUUUAAAUCAAUUUUAUGGAUACAAAAACCAAAUGAAAAUGUUGCAUUCAAUUUAAUUAGUUAAAGUGUUAAUUAAUUAAAGGGUGAUUAUGAACCUAAGCCUACGAUAAUUGAGCUAUGUGAAAGGCCGUUUCAAAUUUGUUUGAACCAUGGGAAUGUGUAGAUUAGAUUUUGGUUGUAAUUUGAUUUGAUCAAAUGUUGUAAAAGAGCAUAAGCUCUUCUUUACUUUAAAGUAAUUUAUUUUGAUCAAUUGUUGUAAAAGAGCAUAAGCUCUUCUUUACUUUGAAGUACUUCUUUCUUGCUUUAUUUGAUAUGCAUGAAAAUGAAGUAGUUGGGUCUAACGCCCCUAAGACAACACGCCUUAAUGUGAUUAAACGCGUAACUAAAAUCAAUCACCAUCCCUAGACCGAGAUUCAACACUAGGCUCGUGUUGAAUCUAAACGAAGGUUCACAAUCAUCCUAAGGCCCUAAGGCAACUAUAUAGUCCAUCAAAUGAAUGCAAAGGUUAUGUUAGUAGUAUCAUAUACUUUUGCUUUAAAAACAUUUUAUAAGCAUAGUGGGAGUAUUAUAUACAACUAAAAACAAUCAUAUGGACCAAUAGUUGUAAUAGGACCAAAAUUGUUUUAAUAGAGAUUAAAAUGUAUUUUUAUAUGUGAUGAGACCUAAAACCCUCAACCAAACCAUUAUUAAGUUGAUAAGCGUGAGAGUGCUUUGAACACUUUUUCGUGGCCUUCCACCGUGGUAGGCUCCAAUCGUUUAUGACUUGUACACCGCC